CCCCAGGGCUGUAGCUGGGUAAGAAGAGAUGCCAGUCAUGACUGUCCCUCAGCCACAGCUGCUGUUUCUACCAAAAAAUGUGUCCCUUUUAUAGAGGGGGAAACGGGCAUCCUGGGGCCACAGCUCCUAUGCAGCUGGGGUGGGUUUGAGGCCGGGAUCUGGCCCUCAGAAUAGGGAGUGGGGAUGGUGAGGCCCACGGUUUCCCCUCGGGGAAGUUUCCCAUGAAGGAGCUCAGCGUCUCUUCUGGAGGUGGCAGGACCGGGAGGUGAGGACUUGGACAGGCAUUCCCCGCUCUGUGCCCCAACGUCCCCAUCUGCUGAGCGAGGGAGGCCUUGUCUUGUUGGGGGCGUGGGCAGCCCCGUGGGAGUGAAGUCAGAGCCCACCCUGAGGGGCAUGGGGCUGAGCUGCUGCCUGCACCUCUUCAUGGAGACUGAGCAGAUCCCAGAGCCGGAGGGCAAGGGAGGGCUGGGCCACGGGGAUGGGUCCUGAGGGUGAAGAGGCCCUGUGCAGCUGCCCUGGUGGUGACCGCCUGCAGGUGGCACUUCGAAUCCGCCCGCUCAAUGACGCAGAACUGGAGGAGGGAGCCGCAGUCAUCGCCCACAAAGUGGGGGACCAGAUGGUGGUGCUCAUGGACCCCGGCGAGGACCCUGAGGACGUGGCGCGCACACACCG
This 672-nucleotide small RNA is filed under the name Pongo abelii (Sumatran orangutan). RNAcentral's name for it is "processed transcript". Lineage: Eukaryota; Metazoa; Chordata; Mammalia; Primates; Hominidae. The record is from RNAcentral.